UACAGAGGGUGCUAGCGUUGUUCGGAAUCAUUGGGCGUAAAGGGCGUGUAGGCGGUUUGUUAAGUCAUGUGUGAAAGCCCCCGGCUCAACCGGGGAACGACGCAUGAAACUGGCAAGCUAGAGUACCGAAGAGGGGGGUGGAAUUCCGGGUGUAGUGGUGAAAUGCGUAGAUAUCAGGAGGAACACCAGCGGCGAAGGCGGCGCUCUGGGCCGGUACUGACGCUGAGGAGCGAAAGCGUGGGGAUCAAACAGG
This 253-nucleotide ribosomal RNA is filed under the name uncultured bacterium. RNAcentral's name for it is "partial 16S ribosomal RNA". It matches the Rfam family "Bacterial small subunit ribosomal RNA", at positions 524 to 776 of the family's 1533-position model. The record is from RNAcentral.